Rhincodon typus (whale shark) is the source of this 635-nucleotide long non-coding RNA. RefSeq lists it as uncharacterized. The transcript is spliced from 2 exons. The record is from RefSeq and is a predicted model, not a curated record. NCBI's taxonomy places the organism in Eukaryota, Metazoa, Chordata, Chondrichthyes, Orectolobiformes, Rhincodontidae.
ACCGAGGCGGAGGUCCCCCGGGCACACGCCCAGAUCCAGGAGGUCGCCGCCAAGCUCGGUAUUGAAGAGACGGACAACCAGUUAGGAAAAUUGCACGUCUAUCUGCAGAAAUUUCGUCCUCAGCACUUCCAGAAGCUUCGAGAAGCGGGCGUGUUGUAACCAACGGAGGGAUGGAGAGGUGGAGACUUCAGUGAGAAAUGGACAUUAUUCUGUGUUAUUUAAACUUGUCUUAAACUUUUCCCUGCUGCAAGCCAAGCAUUUAUUGACAGGUUGAAGAUGCAACGGUUAAUUCAGACACAUAAAGCUCCCAUCACACACCGGCGCUCCCUCGGCGCUGACCCUCCGACAGCGCCCACUCCCUCGGCGCUGACCCUCCGAAAGUGCGGCACUCCCUCAGCGCUGACCCUCCGACAGUGCGGCACUCCCUCGGCGCUGACCCUCCGACAGUGCGGCACUCCCUCGGCACCGACCCUCCGGCGCCCCGCUCCCUCGGCGCCGACCCUCCGACGGCGCCCCGCGCCCUCGGCGCUGAGUGUGCUGUAGGGGUCGCUGAAGGUGAUGACUGGGGCAAUUUCCUGAUGUAGAAGGUUUGAAUGUAAUAAUUGCCAAAACGCUUGAACAAAGUGAAGAAAGUG